Columba livia (rock pigeon) is the source of this 1362-nucleotide long non-coding RNA. RefSeq lists it as uncharacterized. The record is from RefSeq and is a predicted model, not a curated record. The transcript has 3 exons. Lineage: Eukaryota; Metazoa; Chordata; Aves; Columbiformes; Columbidae.
UCAAUGUCACGUUUGAGCCAUAAAUAUUUGUACGAAGUCACAGCUGUUAAAUGAUGUCACAGUAGCACAUUAGCAUUAUGCAACACUGCAGAGCUGAGGGUCACCAAACAGUUUUGAGACUUUACAUUUACAGCACAACCUUUUGGCCACUUGGAGCCAUUUCAUACUAUUUUCUCCUCCUGAUUCAUCCAUGAAUAACACAGAAGUGCAUUUAGUAUCUGCACCUGAGCUAAUCACAUUCACUAGUCUUGCUUUAAAAUCAGCGGAGAAAAACAGAAACUUUAGGGUCAUCGUUCAUCUAAUUUUAAAAUAUCAUGGCUUUCAUGAUUCUUUCUUUUACUUUCUACCUACGUACUCUAUUCAACUGAAUGAUCCAUGGUCUUUCAUAGUGGAUAAACACACAAAGGUCACAGACUCUGGCUCCACACCUGGCUGAACUGAUCAGCAGAAAUGCAGCUGGACUGUGGAAACCAAUUCUGUUAAAUUCAGCAGGUGUCCCCCAAAGUGAAGAAUGAAACUAAGUCUCUUUGAGAAGACAGAUGGAUCUAAGAGCAGCCUUGCUAAGAAUAUGCCUUUUAUUCUAAAAUAUUUCUAUAUUUUUAAUUCAUGUUUCUGACAGCUCAUGGAAUCCAGUAGGAAAACAGAAACGGCUUUUACCAAAAGGAAAAGCUUUGUUUUAGAAGGUAUUAGUCAUUUCCUAAAUAUUGCUACAUAUUUCUUCAAGAUCUUUCAACAAGCUACGUGGACUUCUGAGAGUCUCGUACACUGUUUAAAUUUCUUCUUCAGUCUGCUUAAAUGCAGAUAAAAUAAGAAGAGAAUAAGAAAUCAUUAUUGUCAGUGCUACUUGGAUCAUAGUCAGCUACUUACAGUUACGACAAGCACCUUUUCAUCUUUUUAGUAAACAAGGAGUCUUAAACUGAGACUCUCCAUACCCUGAUGUGUAACGUUAAUGACAGGACAACAGCUUGCACUGAAGGCUGGUGGAAUCUGCAAACUCGAAGAAAAAAUGUAGCCUGCAGUGCUAAAGAGUUCGCAACAAAUGUAGACUGUAUGCUAGUGAUCUGCCAUAAACAUAUUUUAGUGCUGGAAGUACUGUGACCGUGUUAUUGUCAUACUAGGCUACAUCUACAAAAGGACUUGCACACUGAGAACGGACACUGUAGCUUUGCUAUCUUUCUCUUAAGCCUUGCUGGAAUGCCACCUACAUCUACAGGCAACUGAAGACCCUUUAUUCCCUGUCCAAUAAUCUUCAUAACAGAGGUCCUGAUGUUACUACACUGCUUUGUGCCUAUGCUGUCGUAAGGCUGUUAAAUGGCUGGUCUCACCAGGGACUCCAGGUGUGGUCAACUCUCUUCUAUGUGU